CGCACGGUGGUGUAAAGGCAAACAUCAAGGUCUCAUAAGCCUUGGCUAUGGGUUCGAGUCCCGUCUGUGCGU
This 72-nucleotide transfer RNA is filed under the name Aureispira anguillae. It matches the Rfam family "tRNA". From Rfam's summary of the family: Transfer RNA (tRNA) molecules are approximately 80 nucleotides in length. Their secondary structure includes four short double-helical elements and three loops (D, anti-codon, and T loops). Lineage: Bacteria; Pseudomonadati; Bacteroidota; Saprospiria; Saprospirales; Saprospiraceae. The record is from Rfam by way of RNAcentral. RNAcentral also lists the same sequence under 1 other name.